Long non-coding RNA from Triticum dicoccoides, 5102 nucleotides. RefSeq lists it as uncharacterized. The transcript is spliced from 4 exons. The record is from RefSeq and is a predicted model, not a curated record. NCBI's taxonomy places the organism in Eukaryota, Viridiplantae, Streptophyta, Magnoliopsida, Poales, Poaceae.
CUCAUCUCCCGCUCCGCUGCCGCCCCUGCUGCUCCGCCGGCCCGACCUCUUUAUCGGGCACGGCUGCAAGAGCAUCUCCACCUCUCCACUCCCUCACACAACAGCACUCCAACCCCCCACCCCCACGCUCGGCUACCGCUAGGGUUUCUUACCCUCGCUGCCCCGCCAUGAUAGCUUGAGAGUGCAGUCGGCGGCGGCGGCGAAGGCGGCUCCUCAGAGCAGGGACGCGUCUCCCGUCGAAAUCCAAGUCCGUUCGUGCGAGCUUCUCCUCCCCUCGAUCCGAUCUUCACCUUCGCUCAUGGUGGCCGUCAGCUGCCCUCCCGCCGGCGGCCAGCUUGACCUGCACGGCACUCAGUUGCCCGCAUGGCCCACCUCCUCCCCAUCGCGGCACUCUGCAUGGCGCUUGUUGGCUGCCGUUGGGCUUGCUUGCGGCGCACAGAUCGGGUCGCGCGCGACGGCUACAUCAUCGCCGGAUCUGUCCUUUCGUCCGACAGCGACCCCAACCCCAGCGCCCUCCUCCACCGCCCGCUUCCCCCACUCCCGCUUGACUCCACGGGCCGGUGGCGACGCUCUGCCCGGAGAUCCGUGGAUCUGCGUCUGCCAGCCGCAUUUGGCCCUCCGUCCACUGUGCUCUGCCGGCCCUGGCUCGCGCCGGGGUGGCCCUUGGCUCGUCACCAGGCUCCUGUGUGGCUUGCUCUCGCACGCCUAGAUGCACCAUUGUCGGGUUCCCUGUUGCCCCUCUGAUAUGAUAAAUGCAUCCACCCCUCGCAUCCAUUGGCUUGGGUACCUGAUGGAUUUGGUCUGGUCCGCCUACAGAGAUGUUGGUUCCGUUGUUUGCACAUGUAUCCUGAUGCCGGUUUCUCACCAUGGCUGUCAAGUACCGCCUCGUGAAGGAGUGGAGAAGACAACGUGCUCUGGUUCUCCUCCAGCAUGGUCAAAACAAUGGUGCCUUCACCCUUGCUCGUGCCUCAACCCACAUGGUCAUCUUUGAGACGUGGUAUUCAGUCACAUGACAGAGUUCUCUUUAUCCUUGAGGUCAGGUGCGGAAACUAGCGACAUGUGCUGGAGCUUCUGGCGGCGACAUCACCUGCAUCGACCUCUCCCUGGUCGCCUUCGAGAGUGUGUGCGGCUGACCAUCAAGCUUGUUAUGACGCACUUUGAAUUUCCGAGCAAGUCGCAGCCUUUUCAGAUUCAUCAACACAGGUUACAUCAGUAGUCAAUAUGGUUCAGAUGCAUAAUAGUACGUACUUCAUUUCCUUUUUGUUGUUUACGGUGUCCUACAACAUGGAUCAUAUAUAUCGAUUAUCUUUCAGGUUCAGUUUGCUGUGGCGAAUUCUUCUUGAAUUUGUUGCAGCAAACUUGUGGUCAUGUAUGGUUUUUAGUUUUGUAAGCCUGCAUAGUUUAGAAGUUAGAAAGCUCGUUCAUGUAUUGUUCUAAACUGAAAGUUUAAGUGGCUUUUCCACCCAUGGUAUUGUGGUGGUCAUAAUAGCACACCUCGCAAUUAUUGAUGGCCAGAUCUACAAGCCCUGAGCGGUGUGUUUUUUAGCCCCCUCUGUUUCUCCUGGGCAUCAAUCUAUGCACAACAAGCUCUUCAGUGCUUGAUGACAAAUAAAGGUUGCAUCUUAGAUAGUUGCUUGAUUUGAAUGAGCCAUUUUGCUAUCAGCUAAAAGUCAGAUGUAAGAUUAUGUUUCUUGGCACAUGAGUUAUUUUUCAGUCAACGCGUGGCGAGUCCACUUCGAACUGAUAUAUGCACUUUUUAUUUGAAACUGAACCACCAUGGUUUAAUUUUAUUUUCAUUUGGACAAGUUACCCCAAGUAUCAUCAGUUCAUGAUGACUGGUUUGGUGUGGUGAAUUGAUCCUGGUGCUGAUUUAAGAGUUUUUUAUGACACUGCCUUGUAAGGGAGUAAGGUCUGGUAUCUAUAUGGCUAUUAUUUUAUCUCUUACAGAUUGCCAUAUAUGACAUGCUAAUUGUUUUUAGCUCUUGAUAUAGUUAAACUUUUUUUUCCGAAACGAAGGCAAAAGAUUUGCCUCAUCCAUUAAGUGGGAGGAGAAUAGAGUUAAACUUUGGAUGCACCAGUGCCUGAUGCAUAUGUUUGUUUACUUGGUUUGAACUCUGAAUGAUAUGUUGUUAUCCUGAUUGCAUGCCUGAUGAGUUGGUUCUGCUGGUAUUUUGAGGAGGCAAGCUGUGGUUUUACUCCUGGCCCUGAGAAGGGUGAACUAGGCCAUAGCGAGGGUGCCCUCAGGAACAUCGAGUCAGGGUGCCUCACUUUCUAUUUCAAUCUGCGAGGUAAUGAAGGCAAAAAAAAAGUUUCUACUCGCCCUGUUCUUGCAACUAAUCAGAGAAAAACUGUGUGGUUACUGAAGCAUUAUGGUUUGUAGUUACCGAAGCAUUGCAUUUUUUGAGAAAGUGUUCCUUAUACCAUGUAAGUAGGGACAAUUACUAUUUAACUAGGUACAAUUAAUAUUUAACAAGCCACAAUUGAUCAAGCAGUCAAUGCUUAAAUAUGCCCGUACUCUGUCGUAUCCAGGAUGGAGCUUUGCUAGCUUUUGAGUUGGAUUCUCUUUCGACUACACCUAAAUAUGACAAACCAACAGUAAAUGAGCUCAUUUUAAAAAACUGCAGUUUAAAGGAAAUUAUUACAAUAUACUUGCUAGACCUUCUCAUUACACUCUUUCACUUUUUUGGCCUAACACUAUCCUGUAUAGACCUAAUAACAGAAGACAUGGGAAAUGCUUUCGUAACAUAAUGUUUUUUUGUUAGAUGCUCUGUUUAUUUAGUGUCGUUGAUCCAAAAACUUGAAAGUGUAGAAAUGUAAAGGCAUGGGACUAUAGAACCAAGUAUUUCUCGAUUUGGUGAUGCUUUAUUCAGAGUUCUUGUGCAUCAGAUUGGAGUGUUACCACAAACCUGUUAUUUAUUUCACUUCAUGUGAGUGCCAAGGCCUUUUUUGUGUCCCCUCUAAUCAUUGCAUUUGUAUCUUGAUCAUUGUAUUAACGAAAAGCAAAAUAUUUCUCAUGUUUUGCUCAGUGUGUCUACUUCUCUUCUUUAUUAUAUUAACUAUUUUUGGAUGAUAUUUCACAAGAAUGACAUUGUUAGAUUUAGAUUCGUUAGGUUUCAACGCAUUUGAAUAUGACAGCUAUAUGCCUAUGCCUCUGUGCAAGUUUUACCCAAUGGUACAUCAGUGUUUCACUAUGAACGACUUCACUGAUUGUUAGGAAUAUUUCUUAUUUCACACUGAAGUGUUUAUCAGUAUGUUGGAAGAACAUCAUAGCCAAUCAGAGAAUGCAGGUGCUAGAUGUGCUAUAAUUACUCAUAUGUUGGCUGUUGAUAUAUGAGCUUUGAUGAACCUAGCUUCAAGAAAGUCGUUCUAUGCAUUCCAAUCCAAAAAUAACUUCAAAAAACUGAUUUUCAUUUCUGAACAUUAUUCUGUUAUCGUGGAUAUUUCCACUCUGUUUCAUGUGUGAUUAACAUUUUUAGUUUGCUAUUUCAUUACUAACUCCACAUAGACAGAUAGACUGGUAGAUAGUCACUCAGAGUGUUUGAUCCUCCUAAUCACAUCAUAUCUGUCUCUACCUGUGGCUUUAGACAAAAACGUCCAUGCUCAAUACAGCUGGUUCCCCCAAGUUCAGCAGUGACCAUAUGAUACACCAGUACGCAAAAGAUAUAUGGGAUAUCAUCCCCGUCAUCAUGCUUUGAAUAAUUUAAUCAGUUUACAGAAACCUUGAGUCUGUGAGGCGCAAUCAGUCACAGAUUUGCCUCGACUCCUCAUUGGGAAGGUGUUGCUGCCCUAGCUUUGUGUAGGAACAUGCAAGUUCUGACAUGGGCCUGAGAGCUGAGAGCAUGUAGUUUCGUCACUCACUCGCUGAUGGUUAUAUUAAAUCAAACCAAUUUGUGUCAAGCAUCUCUAUGAACAGGGAACAUUUUUUUUGGUAGAAAUUCCAGAUUAACUUGAUAAGAGAGCAACAUCAGGAUUUUAUGUUUGGAACUAUUGAAAUUAUUUUGCCUUCUCUACUGAUGGCGCAAAGAACAUGAAGAAUACGAGAUAUAAUAGAUAGAGCAAUGAAUCUUAUCACCAAAAGAUUACAGAGGACAGUUAUCCCACAUUUUGGCAUGGUGAUGUUACCGGACGGUGUUCUUCCAUGCUAACUAUAAUGCACCCACAUUUUGUGGCGACAGAGCUAGGACAUACUAUAAAUCUAUGGUAGAUGCAGAAACGUGUUCUUCUAUAAGCAUGUGCUUGUAACAUGGGCAUACUAAUAAUUCCAUCAUGCUCCCUUCUCUCUCGCUCUUCUUUUGAAAUCCCAUUAUAUGAAUAAUAACAUGAAAAGAAUGGGCGUUUUCCAGAGCUUGGCCUAAUUUAAUAUGUUCUUAUGGUACUACAAAAAUGGUAAUAUGUUACUACAAUGUAUUUUCCAGAAAUCUCAUUGUUCAUUUACUGAAUAAUACUAAUUGCUAUCAUUUUAUUUUUCAGGAUACCUCUAAUUAUUUUUAAUGUGAUAUGUUUCAUUGCAGGGUGAUACGUAUGAAGGAAAAGAGCCAGAGCGGUGCUUGGAUAAAAGUCAGUGCUGGAAUUUGUUUGGCAUAUGCGGAAAUCUUGGUAAAGGAUAAGGACGCACACGGCGGUGAGGUUAGUAGGGGCGUAACAAACGAGAAGGGCGGGCGUGGCAAUGGCCAUUCAUGUGUCAGACGAAAAUUGUACACCCACAUGUGUGACGAGGCUGACAUAUGCAUCAACGAGCAUGGUGAUGAGGUGAGAGUUGGAAGCGUGGAUGUACUUGACAAGGAGCAAGUAGAUGUGAGCAAGCAUGGUGGGCAAUGUCGACAAUGUUCACGCGAAUGAGAAGACCAAAGAGGAAGGUGAUGCAUGCCUGUGCAUAUUUGUGGCGGAAUGGACAGUUUGAGGGGAAUUAGCCUGUGUCUUUGGACAGGUUGUCGACAGAUAAAAGUUUUAUAGUUUGGCUUGAGGAGUAACAUAGACAGGCAUGCUGGUGCUAUAAGGCUAUAUCUCUCUUCGUGGACAAGAGCAUACAAUGCUUCAAGUUUCAUGGAAGUUUUUAAAUUCCAUUAUGAGGCUCAAUCUGAAAUAAAAUGGUGUCUUGCUUU